GACGAACGCUGGCGGCGUGCUUAACACAUGCAAGCCGAACGAAGAGCGAUGGAAGCUUGCUUCUAUCAAUCUUAGUGGCGAACGGGUGAGUAACGCGUAAUCAACCUGCCCUUCAGAGGGGGACAACAGUUGGAAACGACUGCUAAUACCGCAUACGAUCUAAUCUCGGCAUCGAGGAAAGAUGAAAGGUGGCCUCUAUUUAUAAGCUAUCACUGAAGGAGGGGAUUGCGUCUGAUUAGCUAGUUGGAGGGGUAACGGCCCACCAAGGCGAUGAUCAGUAGCCGGUCUGAGAGGAUGAACGGCCACAUUGGGACUGAGACACGGCCCAGACUCCUACGGGAGGCAGCAGUGGGGAAUCUUCCGCAAUGGACGAAAGUCUGACGGAGCAACGCCGCGUGAGUGAUGACGGCCUUCGGGUUGUAAAGCUCUGUUAAUCGGGACGAAAGGCCUUCUUGCGAA
This 459-nucleotide ribosomal RNA is filed under the name Veillonella dispar. Its description in RNAcentral is "bacterial SSU rRNA". It matches the Rfam family "Bacterial small subunit ribosomal RNA", at positions 28 to 464 of the family's 1533-position model. The record is from RNAcentral. Lineage: Bacteria; Bacillati; Bacillota; Negativicutes; Veillonellales; Veillonellaceae.